RNAcentral lists this ribosomal RNA (253 nucleotides) under uncultured bacterium. RNAcentral describes it as "partial 16S ribosomal RNA". It matches the Rfam family "Bacterial small subunit ribosomal RNA", at positions 524 to 776 of the family's 1533-position model. The record is from RNAcentral.
UACGUAGGGGGCAAGCGUCGUCCGGAUUUAUUGGGCGUAAAGAGCGUGUAGGCGGCCUGACAGGUCUGCUGUGAAAACUCGAGGCUCAACCUCGAGAUGUCGGCGGAAACCGUCUGGCUAGAGUCCGGAAGAGGAGACUGGAAUACUUGGUGUAGCAGUGAAAUGCGUAGAUAUCAAGUGGAACACCAGUGGCGAAGGCGAGUCUCUGGACAUUUCCUGACGCUGAGGCACGAAAGCCAGGGGAGCAAACGGG